Molecule: ribosomal RNA, 396 nt
Filed under: uncultured bacterium
Lineage: Bacteria
Description: bacterial SSU rRNA
Rfam family: Bacterial small subunit ribosomal RNA
Source: RNAcentral
GGAAUAUUGCGCAAUGGAGGAAACUCUGACGCAGUGACGCCGCGUAUAGGAAGAAGGUUUUCGGAUUGUAAACUAUUGUCGUUAGGGAAGAUAAAAGACUGUACCUAAGGAGGAAGCCCCGGCUAACUACGUGCCAGCAGCCGCGGUAAUACGUAGGGGGCAAGCGUUAUCCGGAUUUACUGGGUGUAAAGGGGGCGCAGACGGCGAUGCAAGCCAGGAGUGAAAGCCCGGGGCACAACCCCGGGACUGCUCUUGGAACUGCGUGGCUGGAGUGCAGGAGGGGCAGGCGGAAUUCCUGGUGUAGCGGUGAAAUGCGUAGAUAUCAGGAGGAACACCGGUGGCGAAGGCGGCUUACUGGACUGUAACUGACGUUGAGGCUCGAAAGCGUGGGGAGCA